CACUUUUUAAAAAUCAACUUUUGAUGUUUAAGUAUUUCGCGAAUUUGAAAUUAGUCAUUCAAUGAGUUUUCCAUCUAUUUUCGCAACUUCUGUUAAGUUGAGUCACCGUUUGUUCACGUAGACAUCAACACUUUAGGUUAAAAACGAUGCUGUUUUAAAUGUUGGCUUUACACGUCAGCCCCAACUUGUGGGAAAUUUCUUUAAGCAAGUUUGAGGCUUGAAGAACGUCAACUCUUGACGAGGGAUGAUUAGAAAAGAAAAAAAGUUGGAAGAAGGACAAGGAGCGGGGGGAAUGGAAGACAUCUCCAUGGAGAAUGCAAAUAAAUAAGGGUUUACAAUCACUAUCAUGGUCGUCUUCUUCAAUGUCGUCUGUAGGAGGUGAUGUGGAUUUGGAUGCAUCGAUGUGCAAAUGAGGCCUUUGAUCUCCAUUAAGAACUUCUUGGAUGGCAACAAAUCUUGGGAGGCGCUUCUUUGGGUGUGCCAUGUAUGAUGCACAAAGGAAAGGAAUUACUACCUCCAUUGCGUAAUAAUUGAAGUGCUUGAAAGAUGAGGUGAUACAACUUAGAGCACGGAAGAGGCAGCUUACUCAACUGUUGAUGUUUUUGUCAGUAGUAUUUAUUGCUUUGGUGGGAGUAUGGUUGAUGGGACGUAAGGCCAUGUCAGGAAAGGAAUUACUGCCUCCAUUGCGUAAUAAUUGAAGUGCUUGAAAGAUGAGGUGAUACAACUUAGAGCACGGAAGAGGCAGCUUACUCAACUGUUGAUGUUUUUGUCAGUAGUAUUUAUUGCUUUGGUGGGAGUAUGGUUGAUGGGACGUAAGGCCAUGCAUUGACAUGGCCUGUUGUAGUGUUUGUAAUGGUGCAUUGGUAUUUUUGGGUGUUUGAUGGAGUGAAUUUACCACUCCCAUUUUGUAAAUUUGGAUCAUUGUAUAAUUUAGUACUUACAUUUUGUGAAAGGUGCAUUUAAAUGAAUGAUUUUUUCCGUGCA
Molecule: long non-coding RNA, 984 nt
Organism: Alnus glutinosa
Lineage: Eukaryota; Viridiplantae; Streptophyta; Magnoliopsida; Fagales; Betulaceae
Exons: 3
Source: RefSeq, a predicted model, not a curated record